GACGAACGCUGGCGGCGUGCUUAACACAUGCAAGUCGAACGGAAAGGCCCUGCUUUUGUGGGGUGCUCGAGUGGCGAACGGGUGAGUAACACGUGAGUAACCUGCCCUUGACUUUGGGAUAACUUCAGGAAACUGGGGCUAAUACCGGAUAGGAGCUCCUGCUGCAUGGUGGGGGUUGGAAAGUUUCGGCGGUUGGGGAUGGACUCGCGGCUUAUCAGCUUGUUGGUGGGGUAGUGGCUUACCAAGGCUUUGACGGGUAGCCGGCCUGGGAGGGUGACCGGGCCAGGUUGAGGCGGAGACGCGGCCUAUGGGCGGACGGGGGGCAGCAGGGGUGAGGAGUGCACAGGGGGGGGACUCCGGACGCAGCGACGCGGCGGGCGGGAUCACGGGCGUGGGGGUGUCAACCGCUCGCGGGGGUGACGGAGCGGGAGUGAGGGGAAUGGGAAAAGGAGCACCGGGUAACUAGGUGAGAGCGGCCGCGGUAAAAGAAGGAGCCCACAUCUCAUC
This 507-nucleotide ribosomal RNA is filed under the name uncultured bacterium. RNAcentral's name for it is "partial 16S ribosomal RNA". It matches the Rfam family "Bacterial small subunit ribosomal RNA", at positions 33 to 541 of the family's 1533-position model. The record is from RNAcentral.